UACAGAGGGUGCAAGCGUUAAUCGGAUUUACUGGGCGUAAAGGGCGCGUAGGUGGUUAUGUAAGUGAGAGGUGAAAUCCCCGGGCUCAACCUGGGAACUGCAUUUGUGACUGCAUAGCUGGAGUGCGGCAGAGGGGGAUGGAAUUCCGCGUGUAGCAGUGAAAUGCGUAGAUAUGCGGAGGAACACCGAUGGCGAAGGCAAUCCCCUGGGCCUGCACUGACGCUCAUGCACGAAAGCGUGGGGAGCAAACAGG
Molecule: ribosomal RNA, 253 nt
Filed under: uncultured bacterium
Lineage: Bacteria
Description: partial 16S ribosomal RNA
Rfam family: Bacterial small subunit ribosomal RNA
Source: RNAcentral